GCCGCAGUGGCGGAAUUGGUAGACGCGCUGGUCUUAGGAACCAGUACUGCAAAGUGUGAAGGUUCGAGUCCUUUCUGCGGCAC
RNAcentral lists this transfer RNA (83 nucleotides) under Fidelibacterota bacterium. RNAcentral describes it as "Candidatus Marinimicrobia bacterium tRNA-Leu". It matches the Rfam family "tRNA". Rfam says of the family: Transfer RNA (tRNA) molecules are approximately 80 nucleotides in length. Their secondary structure includes four short double-helical elements and three loops (D, anti-codon, and T loops). Lineage: Bacteria; Pseudomonadati; Fidelibacterota. The record is from RNAcentral.